UUGUGAGAGGACUACUCCAAUCAGCCUGCCAUUGUGUCUCUGUUUCCUCCUUGAGCCAACAUCUUGGCCCACUGUACAGCCUAUUGGGUCCAAGAAUUGAACUACGAAAUCAAGCACACCGACAGUCUGAGAAUAUUCAGAAGAUUUUCAGCCAUCCAUGUCAUCUCCCAGGGUAGGUACCUGUUUGGCUAGGCUCAUAAUCUGCUAGAGGUUAUUAUUAUUGUGUUCCUGUGUGUAAUAGCUACAAGUUCCUCUGGCAACUCUCUAAGCAGCGACAGAUAGCCUGUACUUUCCCACUGUCCUGAUUCAUUCUAAUCCUAUGUCAAACAUAUAAAUGGUUGCAACUUCUGAGUGGACAGUACUUCUGGCUGACUGCAGUGACUAUGCAUCCCAUUUCUGAGAUAUCUGAAAAGCUCCCCCA
Molecule: long non-coding RNA, 421 nt
Filed under: Phascolarctos cinereus (koala)
Lineage: Eukaryota; Metazoa; Chordata; Mammalia; Diprotodontia; Phascolarctidae
Description: lncRNA (ENSPCIG00000031480.1)
Source: RNAcentral